RNAcentral lists this long non-coding RNA (2942 nucleotides) under Betta splendens (Siamese fighting fish). RNAcentral describes it as "lncRNA (ENSBSLG00000023093.1)". The record is from RNAcentral. Lineage: Eukaryota; Metazoa; Chordata; Actinopteri; Anabantiformes; Osphronemidae.
AUGACCAACACCUCCAUCCACCUCUACAACGUCAACCAGAAGACGCUCCUGCAGUGGCACACAGAGAGGAGCAAGGGAAUGAGCACCACCUUCCUCCUCAGUACUGUCCCCGGACCAGGCGGACCUGCUUCUGGUACUCAGGGUGUCCCAUCACAGUCUCUGAAGGUGAACCCUGUGCUACCUCAGAGGCCGUUGCAGCACCCACAAACUGAAGACACCUCAGGGCUGGCAACCACACACCGUGGGCCUGUGGCACCGGCCCUGUAUGACCUGAUUGUCUCUGCUGCCAUGGCUUCUGAAGCAUCAGCUGCCACCAUCACUGCUUCACCAGACACAAUCACCACUACCACCCACCAUGCCAUCUCCAUCACCGCUGCUGCACCUGCUGCUGCUGCUGCUGCUGCUCCUGCUGCUGCUGCUGCUGCUGCUCCUGCUGCUGCUCCUGCUCCUGCUCCUGCUCCUGCUCCUGCUCCUGCUCCUGCUCCUGCUGCUGCUCCUGCUCCUGCUCCUGCUCCUGCUCCUGCUCCUGCUGCCGCCGCCGCCGCCGCCGCCGCCGCCGCCGCCGCUGCUGUUCCUCGCUCCACAGCCUGGCAGAGGAGGAUUAGAGAGGAGGAGCUGCGUCGUCAGCGAGAAAGGGGUCUCCCUCUUAAAGAGAGGAAGAUCUUUACACACUUCCGCUGUGGCCGCUGUGGUCAGCCCAAGACCAAACAGUAUGGCCACAGCCGUUACAGGGGAGAGUUCUUCUGUGCCACAUCGGAGGGUCGCUCUGUGGAUGACUGGUUGAAAGAGAAGAGACGACUGGACCCGAAAUACCAGCAGCCGCCCAGGUGAAGGACAAUCCACAACAAUGCACGUGACUCCUUUUAAUCUUUUUUCUAAUUGCAGGACACACCAACUUGACGUGCAGCAUAGUGUCACUUGUAUAUAGUUUGUGUAAUUUUGCUUAUAUAUAUUUUGUGUGUAUUUUUAAAAUCUAUCUAAUUUUAAUAGAGUAUUUUGUUACAAAUUUGUAAUGUACAUAGUUUAAUUUUACUGUUGACAAUGUUCUCAAGCUAAUUUAAUUGAUGUUUUUGUUACAUAAAAAAUCUUUUCAAAGGAUCAGUUCAGUGUUGACAUCUUUUCUUUGUAAUUACAUAAUGUAUAAUUUAUAAAUCUGAUGUGAACCAGGUUAAUUAUGAGGAUCGAACAUGAUCGUAUUGAUCCAUCAUGCCACAUCUAGUGAGAGAGUAGAACAUUUGAUCAGAUCUGUGUGUCCCUCACUGACAGCUGUGUGACAGCUGUCAGACACUCGCCCAAUCACCAGCUCCCGAUCACUUCACCUUGACACUCGCCCAAUCACCAGCUCCCGAUCACUUCACCUUGACACUCGCCCAAUCACCAGCUCCCGAUCACUUCACCUUUAUUCCAGGGAGACGAUCGUUCAGGGUAAAAGGCCCAUCUCCUGCCGACGGCCCCAGGUGGUCUAGGCGGCUCACAAUACACAUUGUAUGUCCUGUAGGUGUGACUCUGUGGGGGGCAGGUAGGAGCCCCAUAAAGGCUGCCUGGAUGAGGCUGUUGGUCUAGUCAAGGUCUAGUCUCAGGCUGCAACAACUUUGGGGAACUCCACAAAAAAGAAAUGGAAAACUUUGGAAGGUGAGGUCUAACUGGAUUCUUUAUCUUCUUCUUUUUGCUAUCAACUGUAUAUGUGUUCAGCCCUUCAUUAAUCAUUACAUGUUGAACUAUUAUUUACAGAACAGCACCUUUGAUAAAACACAUAGAGAGAAAAAGGAGCCAGGAGUAUACAGAAGGUUUGUAUUUUUUUACUGCACUCAAUAUUAACUUGUAUUUUUCAUUACAUUACAGCAAUGAUGUGAUUGACAUGCUUCUGUUUUUACUUAGAAACAUCAAGGGUAUCUUCUGAGGACGAAUCCCUUGCCUGGCACUCCCCAUGGAGAUCAUCAUCCUCCUCACCCGCCACAAGCACUGCCAACAUUGCUCUUCCAGAGGCUGCCACCACCGCUGCCGCCGCCAACGCCACCGCCGCUGCCGCCGCUGCCGCCGCAGCUUCACUACAAGAACAUGCUGCAACCACUGAUUCACCAAAGGGUGCUGGGGCCGCAGCCGCCGCCGCCGCCGCGGCUGCCGCCGCUGCAUCAGCUGCCUCGGCAGCCGCCACCGCUGCUGCCGCCGCUGCAUCAGCUGCCUCGGCAGCCGCCACCGCUGCUGCCGCCGCUGCAUCAGCUGCCUCGGCAGCCGCCACCGCUGCUGCCGCCGCUGCAUCAGCUGCCUCAGCUCCCUUGGCUGCCGCCACCGCCGCUGCAUCAGCUGCCUCAGCUGCCUCAGCUGCCUCAGCUCCCUCGGCUGCCGCCACCGCCGCUGCAUCAGCUCCCUCGGCUCCCUCGGCUCCCUCGGCUGCCUCGGCUGCCACCACCGCCGCUGCAUCAGCUCCCUCGGCUCCCUCGGCUGCCUCGGCUGCCACCACCGCCGCUGCCUCGGCUGCCUCGGCUCCCUCGGCUGCCUCAGCUGCUGCCGCCACCGCUGCUUCCUGUACCCGCCACAGUGGUCCAUCACGGAUGACUGUAUGGAGAAGAAAGAAGGCAAAACAGGAGGAUGCAGAAGCCUUAAAAAAGGAGGAAGGGCGCCAACAACAGCCCCAAGAGGAGCCCCAAGAGGAGCCCCAAGAAGAGCGCCAAAACCAAUGCCGACAUUGUGGACUUCCCAGGACCCUGUUGAAGGGGCAUGCCUUUUACAAAGGGCAUUUCUACUGCACACACACUGCAGGGCCUGGGGCAAAGUCUGCCAAUGAGUGGCUGAAGGAGCAGGAAGAAAAGGAAUCACCAAAAAUUCCCAGGACAACUGCCUUCACCAUGAAGAAAAAGUGGGAGAAUGAGCAUAGUUUCAAACCUCCAGAAAACAAAAGGAAGCGGAAUAAACUUAGAAUCUGCCAGCUGUGUGGCCUGCCA